This is a long non-coding RNA of Lynx canadensis (Canada lynx), 688 nucleotides long. RefSeq lists it as uncharacterized. Lineage: Eukaryota; Metazoa; Chordata; Mammalia; Carnivora; Felidae. The record is from RefSeq and is a predicted model, not a curated record. The transcript has 5 exons.
UGAGAGCCAGCUCCCCGGGGGCUGCUGUAGCCAUGCAGGAGUGGUCUGCAGGGUUCAGCUUUCGAGCUCCGGAGGUGAGAGAUGCCGUGUUGAGGAACGAGGUGACACCAGCUGAAGAAAUCUACACAGGAUGGAUCUUCUGCAGUGAGGAAAAAAAAAAUUUAACACCAUCAAAGAGAGCUUAGCCUUUUUUCUAAGGUAGAGUCUAGAGGAUUUUCUGGCAGGCUGGUAAAGGUACGAGAGAAAAAAGAAGAAUCAAGAAUGGUGAUAAGCUUUUUGCCCUGAGCGUCUAGAAGAAUGGUCAUAGUUGCAGAGACACCGCAUCAGGACCAAAACUGGCCACUAAAACCACGGUCCUAACUGCACUGUUUUAUGGACCCCUCUUGGGAGAAGAAUGGGAUUUCAGCAGGCUCCUGCAGCUCGUGCUAUAAGCUCAAGGUAAGAGAGUGGAAGCUUUGCCCAUUUUGUUCAUCAUUCUAUCUACAAUCAGACACCAAAACAGUUCCUGGUUCACAGUAAAUGUGAAAAACUCUCCAUAAUAUCUUAAGGUAGCAGCAUUUCUCCAUUUUAUACAUAGCUCAGAAAGUUUAAAACCUUGCCCAUGGGUGUGCAUGGCCCAUCAUGGGAGUCUCAGAGGAGGUUCAAAGUAUUACCAUUUCUUUCCUUGGUCACCAUGGAUUUACUUACU